UUUGAAGCGCAUAAGGCGCGGUGGUUCCAUGCGCGAGACGUGCUAAGAAGAAUGGAAUUUGGUACAGCGAUCUGGCCAAAUCCAAAGCUGUCCCCGCAACCGUAGGCAGAAAGCCGUCCCAAGAUCGUCCACUGGGCACAGACCUCGGAAAGAUUUGGAAAGCGUUGACUUGCAAGUCAUUGAUCCCCGACCCUGCGGACAGCG
Non-coding RNA from Ruegeria sp., 204 nucleotides. NCBI's taxonomy places the organism in Bacteria, Pseudomonadati, Pseudomonadota, Alphaproteobacteria, Rhodobacterales, Roseobacteraceae. The record is from Rfam.